This 109-nucleotide ribosomal RNA is filed under the name Thermococcus kodakarensis KOD1. RNAcentral describes it as "partial 23S rRNA". Lineage: Archaea; Methanobacteriati; Methanobacteriota; Thermococci; Thermococcales; Thermococcaceae. The record is from RNAcentral.
UCACGAUGAGGGCCGUGCAUAGGCGAGCUGGUCCAGAAAACGUCCCGCCCGGUGGCAACUAAGCCGCCUGGUGGAUGGCUCGGCUCGGGGCGCCGACGAAGGGCGUGGC